AGAGUUUUCUCUGUCGCGUAGGGUGUUGUGUUAAUUUUGGCGGUCUCAGAUGUCUCAGGUACCUGGGUCGGAGUCCUUUCUGUUGUUAUCUACUGGAUUCCCUUGAUUCAAGGCCUAGGGAGUUCCUGCCCUACACUGGCCCUCGCGAAAAUAUUUGUCUUUGAGGACGUCUGGGGCUGCGACCGCGGAAUAGAAAAAAAUAGUAGGUGAGCUGCUGCCAAAAAGGAGCGACUAGAAAGGUUUUGUACUUGCUUCUGUAGAAGGGGAAUUUCUCUUUUGUGCUAAUGAUGUGGAAAGAAAAAACAAAAAGACUGUAAAAUAGCGAUGCCCUAAACAUAAUGGAGAAAAGCGGGAGAAACCAAGCUUUAGGACUGAAAGGGGUGGUGCCAGUCUCGUUUCCUAGGUUACUGCUUUCACGAACCGAAAGAAUUUCAGAAUGUGGCGAGCUCCAAUUUUUAAACGCACUGCUGCUUUUGCCUCAGCUGGGCUUCCAAACAGAAAGUCCAGAAGCUGCCCUCGAUGAAUCGUAACUAAUGCACUGUUACUGCCAGCGAACACAUUCCGGGUUAGAAAUAAUAGCUCUAACAAAUUGUUUUGCGCGCCUAGUCUCAUAUUAUCUUCUCAACAACGCAAUUUUACAGAUGAAGAAUCCAAGACACAUAGAUGUUUGGGAACUUUCUCUUAUCUGGUUUUAAAUAGGCUUGAAUCCAGAUCAUUGAACUCUAAACACCAGUGCUGUCUGCAUAUAGCAGAUUGUUUAUAUGUUAAGUGUGAAUUUCAGUAGUGCAAAAAAAAAAACAAAACCUGCCUCUUUUUUUUUUUUGCAUAAUUAUUUUGUCCGUGCAUAGAGAAAUAAAAAGGUACUGGCUCUAACCUGUUUAAGGAGAGGAUGGGGUUGCCUUAUUUUUCAGACCUCAGGUUGAAGAACUUCCAUGAGUAUAAAACCUCAAGAAGGAAAAACCUUGGUAUUUUUUAUUCGAAUCAGAGUGAUAUGAUUUUGAGGCAGGAAGACUUGUCAUCUUAAUUAUUCUGUGCUUCCUAUCCUCAAAAAUUAUUUCCCUAAGUCCCGUAGUAGCGUAGAAUUAUUGCAUCUUCAAAGAACAAUGAUUACUCUCUCAGAUGCAGUACAGAAAACCACCACCAAAAUUAUUAAUACUUGGUUCACAUCAGAAGUGAGCUCUGGCUUCAUAAGAUCUAACAAAUCCUCUCCACUCUCAGAUGACAAGCCGACUUUGGCAAAAGGAAGCAAAGCAAAAAUGAGAAAUCAUUAACUAUAAAGAGCCUUUCCAUCUCUGCUUUCCUCAACUCAUAUUGGCCUUGCUCUGCUCAACCAGCAAUCGAAAAUUAUUCUAGGCCGGGCGCGGUGGCUCACCCCUGUAGCCUCA
Molecule: long non-coding RNA, 1385 nt
Filed under: Homo sapiens (human)
Lineage: Eukaryota; Metazoa; Chordata; Mammalia; Primates; Hominidae
Description: non-protein coding lnc-FRMD5-3:5
Source: RNAcentral